RNAcentral lists this ribosomal RNA (1172 nucleotides) under Thyronectria sp. RNAcentral's name for it is "LSU rRNA". It matches the Rfam family "Eukaryotic large subunit ribosomal RNA", at positions 144 to 1347 of the family's 3401-position model. Lineage: Eukaryota; Fungi; Ascomycota; Sordariomycetes; Hypocreales; Nectriaceae. The record is from RNAcentral.
UGUAAUUUGUAGAGGAUGCUUUUGGUGCGGUACCUUCCGAGUUCCCUGGAACGGGACGCCAUAGAGGGUGAGAGCCCCGUCUGGUUGGAUACCAAUCCUCUGUAAAGCUCCUUCGACGAGUCGAGUAGUUUGGGAAUGCUGCUCAAAAUGGGAGGUAUAUGUCUUCUAAAGCUAAAUAUAGGCCAGAGACCGAUAGCGCACAAGUAGAGUGAUCGAAAGAUGAAAAGCACUUUGAAAAGAGGGUUAAAUAGUACGUGAAAUUGUUGAAAGGGAAGCGUUUGUGACCAGACUUGGGCUUGGUUAAUCAUCCAGCGUUCUCGCUGGUGCACUUUGCCAGCCCAGGCCAGCAUCAGUUUGCUGCGGGGGAUAAAAGUUUCGGGAAUGUGGCUCCUCGGAGUGUUAUAGCCCGUUGCACAAUACCCUGUGGUGGACUGAGGUUCGCGCAUCUGCAAGGAUGCUGGCGUAAUGGUCAUCAACGACCCGUCUUGAAACACGGACCAAGGAGUCGUCUUCGUAUGCGAGUGUUCGGGUGUCAAACCCCUACGCGUAAUGAAAGUGAACGGAGGUGGGAGCCUCGGCGCACCAUCGACCGAUCCUGAUGUUUUCGGAUGGAUUUGAGUAAGAGCAUACGGGGCCGGACCCGAAAGAAGGUGAACUAUGCCUGUAUAGGGUGAAGCCAGAGGAAACUCUGGUGGAGGCUCGCAGCGGUUCUGACGUGCAAAUCGAUCGUCAAAUAUGGGCAUGGGGGCGAAAGACUAAUCGAACCUUCUAGUAGCUGGUUUCCGCCGAAGUUUCCCUCAGGAUAGCAGUGUUGAACUCAGUUUUAUGAGGUAAAGCGAAUGAUUAGGGACUCGGGGGCGCUAUUUAGCCUUCAUCCAUUUCUCAAACUUUAAAUAUGUAAGAAGCCCUUGUUGCUUAAUUGAACGUGGGCAUUCGAAUGUAUCAACACUAGUGGGCCAUUUUUGGUAAGCAGAACUGGCGAUGCGGGAUGAACCGAACGCGAGGUUAAGGUGCCAGAGUAGACGCUCAUCAGACACCACAAAAGGUGUUAGUACAUCUUGACAGCAGGACGGUGGCCAUGGAAGUCGGAAUCCGCUAAGGACUGUGUAACAACUCACCUGCCGAAUGUACUAGCCCUGAAAAUGGAUGGCGCUCAAGCGUCUCACCCAUAC